Long non-coding RNA from Cyprinus carpio carpio, 764 nucleotides. The record is from Ensembl. NCBI's taxonomy places the organism in Eukaryota, Metazoa, Chordata, Actinopteri, Cypriniformes, Cyprinidae.
GCUUGUGUUCUGAGGGGCUACUGGCUGACAGCGUCCGGUAAUUUCUGAGAGAUUAAACUCAGAUGAAGCAUAACUUUGUUUGAGCUGUUUAUUCCCGCUUCAAGUGCUUUGCUGUUGCGCGCGCUGAUUUUCUGAGAGAUUUACAUCUGACGAAGUGUUGUUUUGAGCCAUUUGUUCCCACUUCAGCGGCCUUCAUCAGAAAGUCUCCAAACACUGCAGCUGACUUCUGAUUCACUAUAUAUCACCGCAUUUCUCACCUCCAUUCCCAGACGACAGCAGGCCAAAUAUGCUUAUUCUCUCUAUUAUAUAUACACGUGACCUUGUGAAUUGCUGUAUAGUUCAGCUAACAAAAUAGCUGCCUGUUUUCAUUACAUUUGUGUUAUAAUGUUACGUUUCAUCAUACUAACUUGUGUUUAAACAAUGAAAACUGUAAAAUGUAUUUAGAGAUGUGUAUUAAUGUAAUGUAUUAAGUGUUUUAUUAUAUUUUUACAGGAUCCUCUGUUCCCAAACCCAACAAUUCAUCUGAAGGAUGAAGGAAAAUAUGAACCCUUUGAACCACUGGUGACAGUUUCCACAUGAUAAAUAGAAAGGACAUGGCAGAGGAUGAUGGGGUAUUGAUAUUUCACUGAAAUUAAAUAUAAUUUAAUUACAUUUAGUCUGCUAGUCAGAAUUAUAGCUGAUUAAAUAAAAAGAAAUAGUGGUUCAUGUUUGUUUUGGGAUAGUGUUUCAUGAGUCCUUUUGUCCUGAACAGUUUGAAUGGCCGC